CAGGAAAUAGUUUAAGUAAAAUGCUGGCUUUGGGAGUCAGUGAUAGGAGUUAAAGUCUCUUUUUCCUGG
RNAcentral lists this transfer RNA (69 nucleotides) under Salminus brasiliensis (dorado). Its description in RNAcentral is "tRNA-Pro". It matches the Rfam family "tRNA". Rfam says of the family: Transfer RNA (tRNA) molecules are approximately 80 nucleotides in length. The record is from RNAcentral. Lineage: Eukaryota; Metazoa; Chordata; Actinopteri; Characiformes; Bryconidae.